GCAGAACGCGAAGAACCUUACCCAGGUUUGACAUCUUCGGAAGGCUUCCGAAAGGAAACUGUGCCGUAAGGAACCGAAUGACAGGUGAUGCAUGGCCGUCGUCAGCUCGUGUCGUGAGAUGUUUGGUUAAGUCCAUCAACGAGCGCAACCCUUAUAGUUAGUUGUAUUUUUCUAGCUAGACUGCCCUGGUAACAGGGAGGAAGGGGGGAUGAUGUCAGGUCAGUAUUUCCCUUACAUCUGGGGCUACAAACACGCUACAAUGGCCGGUACAAAGGGCAGCCAAGUCGCGAGACGGAGCAAAUCCCAUCAAAGCCGGUCCCAGUUCGGAUAGCAGGCUGAAACUCGCCUGCUUGAAGCCGGAAUCGCUAGUAAUCGCAGAUCAGCAUUGCUGCGGUGAAUACGUUCCCGGGUCUUGUACACACCG
This 424-nucleotide ribosomal RNA is filed under the name uncultured bacterium. Its description in RNAcentral is "bacterial SSU rRNA". It matches the Rfam family "Bacterial small subunit ribosomal RNA", at positions 954 to 1392 of the family's 1533-position model. The record is from RNAcentral.